UACGUAGGGAGCAAGCGUUGUCCGGAAUCAUUGGGCGUAAAGCGCGCGUAGGUGGCCCGGUAAGUCCGCUCUGAAAGUCACAGGCUCAACCUGUGAAAGCGGGUGGAUACUGCCGGGCUAGAGUCCGGAAGAGGCGAGUGGAAUUCCUGGUGUAGCGGUGGAAUGCGCAGAUAUCAGGAGGAACACCGAUUGCGAAGGCAGCUCGCUGGAACGUUACUGACGCUGAGACGCGAAAGCGUGGGGAGCAAACAGG
Molecule: ribosomal RNA, 253 nt
Filed under: uncultured bacterium
Lineage: Bacteria
Description: partial 16S ribosomal RNA
Rfam family: Bacterial small subunit ribosomal RNA
Source: RNAcentral